Molecule: long non-coding RNA, 4559 nt
Organism: Magnolia sinica
Lineage: Eukaryota; Viridiplantae; Streptophyta; Magnoliopsida; Magnoliales; Magnoliaceae
Exons: 5
Source: RefSeq, a predicted model, not a curated record
UGUUGAUUUGAUGGUCCCUUGCCACUACAAGAAAAUGCGUCUUUGUUGGCGCAAUUUUUACCGGUGGCCAUCUAUAAUUGCCAGUGAUGAUGAGAAUCACUGGCGGCCGUCCAAAAAUGCCCCUGAUUUUGGUAUGUGGCCGCUGGUAAAUGUUAGCUAUUUAAAAAAAAAAAAAAAAAGCGCAAAGGGUUUUUCAUUUCCCUCUCUAUUUGUUCCUCUUUCCACACUCUCCCUUCUCAUCUCUCUCUCUCUCCUCAUGCGCUUCUCCCAUCUUGGAUUUGGAACUUUCAAUCUCCCAUCUUACCUCCAAAUCUCAUUCUCUCUUUUAUUUCUCUUCCUUUCUUCUCAUUCUUGGGUUCUUAGAUCAGAUCUAGAGCUGCAAAUCGAGUAGGGCCGGCAACCUGCGGACGUGGUCAUCAACGGUGAGCAAUCAAGGACCCUAAUCAACGGCCAGUGGUUAACGGCCAAGAAAAUUGAUGUCCAGCAUCUGAUCCGAAGAUCAUUCCAACGGAUUGAGGAUCACGCUUGUAGAUUGAGGCCUCCUAGCUCGUUCUCUUCGAAGCAGUCCUUUCAUCGAUCUCUCUCCAAUAGUACUGAAGAGAAUAGAAGAAAUCGGACGAGGCGCUCGAAGGAGGUUUGCUAAUUUCACACACACAUAGUGGUCCCAUCCUCUCUGAAGUUCCAUCUACCACCGAAGAAGAAAAAGAAGGACUAGAGAUACAAGAGAUUUCAUCUACAUAGCUCCAGCAAAGGCAAUUUAUAUCAUCUAGAGGCAACCCAUCAUCCAACAAUGAAAUUCAAAACCUUUCUUGAAGCACAUGGCAAUACUCACCGUUUCUCUGUCCUCAUACUCAUGAGCAAAUGGUCUUGUUGAUUCUCUAUGGUGGCAAAUGCCCCCAUCCCACCUCAGCUGUUAUUGUUAGUAAGGCGUUCUUGAUGAUCAGGGUUACAAGAAAAUGCGCUAUUCCAGGCGCCUAUUUUUACCGGCUAAUAGGGACAUGAAAUGGGUACAAAUCAUGAGAUUUCAAAUAUCAAAAUAGCAAGAAUGGAGUAAUUACUCAAUCUGGACUGUAGGCGUGAAUUAUCCAUCCAAACAGCACAUGAAUCAGUCAAGUAAUAUUUGUGUUCUGAAUUGGUCGAUCUUUCCUUUCUGCAGUCUGUUUUUCUAUUCUUUAUCAAUAAUUUUCAACCAGAUACUUGGACAGCUUUAAAGAGAACACAGACAGCAAGACCUGCUUGCACUGGUUGUGUGAAGUUAACUUGUUCAUGUUGAUGUGCCUGCAUAUUAGGCAUCAUGUGCUGUUGGAGUAUCAAAUAACUUCCUUGUGCGCUGUUUGGCCCAGAAGAAUGUCAGCUGAAAUUGGGUUGGUCGACGAGGCACAAGAUAUGUGUCGGGAUAGCUUGAGGUUUGGCAUAUCUCCAUGAAGAAUCAAGAUUGAAAAUUGUUCACAGAGACAUCAAAGAAAAAAUGUAGAAAUAUGUAAGGAAAAAAUGUCUUGAUGGAUAUAUGUUUUAUCUAUUUGCUUUGGUUUUGAAUAGAAAUAUGUUGUUGAUAAAAAGAACACAAGCAAUCAGUCACUGAGUGCUUCAUCCAUGGCCCUAAAAACCACAGCCAAAGAUUUCAUGUAGCUGUAGAUAUAACCCAGUACAUGAGUUUAAACGGCAAUAAAGAAUCAUGCACCAGUUGUAAAUUCAGAGUACCACUAUAAGAAUUAUAGAUUUGCUUUUCAACAUUAAAUAGCAUCCAAAAUUUCUGUUCUUGCUGCAGCAGACUGGAUAAAUUAUAUGAAUGCAAUCCCCAUCAAAAUCUGCACCCAGGGGAGCGCAAAUAAGAGGGUUGAUAAAAUAUAUGAAUGCAAUCCCCAUAUGAUGGACGGUCCACAUCAAAGGUGGGGCCUGCACAAUGAAUGACCCACAUCAAAGGUUGGGCCCAAAUAUUGGAUGGUGGAUGUGAGGGGGAACAGAUUUAAGAGAUAAUUGCUUAUGAUGUUGGAAACCAAACAUGCUUUUUUACCUUUUGGUUGAUAAAUAUGGUUACCAAACAUACUUAUCAGCUGAAUAAAUAGAAACCAAGAUAAGCUAUUUGUGGCAUACGUGGCCUAUCCAAAGUAACAUACGGUCCAAACGCCCCUAAGUGAUUUAUUUCAAGUGCAUGAAUUUUACAUUAGCCAACUUUGAAUGAUUGUUUCAAAGGCAUUGUUGUUUUUUAUAAAUAUUGCAGGUAUGCGGUUUCUGUUGUUUUAUAACAAAUUCAGUUGCUUGUUACAUCAAAAUUCCACUAAUGGGUAUUUUGCAGAUUUUAAAUUUGUGAUUGAGGUAAAUUGAAUUGGGUUUCUUUAGAGAUACACAUGUAGAACAGGUAUUCUAUCAUAGACAUUGUAUGCUGUAUACAUCCAUGUGCUCCAUGUGCUCCCUUUUCAUUCAGAAUUAAAUUCUUUUUUUCUACCUUUAUCUUCUUUGAUUAGAUUCGAAGUUAUGUUAAUUAUAGUGGAAUUGUAUUUUUUUUGUAAAUCUGGUUGACCCCUCUAUCCUAAAUUGAAGGAAGUCAUGUCUACUUCUUUCAACUCACCUCCUUGUUAUUCUCUCCCAAAUCCACAAUCAAAUCCAAAAUGCUUGUGAGUGGCUCAAAUUUUCUCAAGUGGAUAUUGAAUCCUAGCUUGGGAUACCAAUCGACAUGUCUUGUGAAAUAGGCUAAAUUUACACUUUAGACUGAUCUUUAGCACCUUCAGCAGUAGUGGGAUCCCAUACUCUUAAAGCUGCCCAACUAGAGUAAUAGUUAUAUUUACUUGGAGCCUGACAUGAAUCUGGAGCAGAAGAAGUACAAAUUAAGCUAUUUCCGGACUUUCAAGCACUACUAAUUGUGAGAUUCCAAAGCAUGACAGGCAUUCUAACUAUAUGUUUUCUGUGACUAACAGUCACAACCACUCACCAUUUAAAAAUCAACACGUACUUGUUGGAAGCAACAAAAUUGAGUUUAGUCUCUCUAUCAGGCGGGGAACUAAAAUAGCUCUUAGUCCUUCGAGGGUCAGGUUGCUACUAUAUAUUGUGGCAACUAAAUUUUCUUCAAUUCAUGACAAACAAGGUCAAAAACUCAUCCAGAUAAAGUCUACUUGUCCGGGGCAUUUCUUUGAAACAUAUAUAGGCUCCUAGUGAGUCACUGUGAAACUCAUUGGUUUUGGCCAAAUCACGAUGACUUAUGAUGGUUUUCCAUGAGUUGAACUCUAAAAUUGAGUUUUAAAACCUUGUUCACAAGGUACUACUAUUAUUUCUUCUGUGAGGCGAACAUCAUCUGAAUUCAGCUCUAUUUGAAGGAAAGAGGAAGAGUAACUUCUAUUAGGAAAAAGGAGAGACUAAUAACUUAGAAAAUUUCAUAGACCUUCAUCUAAUAUAAUGGUGGAUGAGAAUGUUGUUGAUCUGAUUCAUAUCUCAACCAUUCCUAAAUAGAAAUUUUGGUGUAGUGGGGGUUAACCUGUUGGAAGGGCUGAAUUUUACACAUACUUAAUACUUUGUAAGCUAUUAUAUGGGUGGAAGAAUCAUUGUUGACCCAACCUGGUGAAAGAAUCAUUGUCGUGUCUCUCGACAUGCUGGAGUAUUUCGUGGAGUACUUUGUAUACUUUGUUUUUCUAUUUCUUGACUUUGUAAGCUAAUUGCAUGAUUUAACUCCGUAUUUAUAGAUACAAAACAGGCUUCAAUAAAUAGUCGCGGAAAUCAUCCGUGAAGACAUGAUUCAGGCAAUGGAUCAACUCGAUCAUGAGAAUGGGGUGAGAUCAAAUCCCAGAUUGCUGCUCGGCUAGGAUGGAUCUCCUCCAAACCAUUUCAAAAUGGAAAACCAGGUUUGUAGGCAAUGAGGAUUAUCUAAUGUGAUUUUCUCUAAUAAAGAUAAAGGCUUUUAUUGUCACAUUUUCCAACACCUGGCUGGACGUGUUGAUUUUUUUUUCCUUUUAUUAUAACGGUUUUGUUUUGAUGGUGGUAUAUGAAGGACAAAGAGUGCAUGAGUGGUGUAAAAAUAGGCAGUGGCUUAGAUGAGUUGAUUUAUCAAGGCAGCAAUGGUAAGAGACAUCAUUAUUAUAAUUUCUUAUUUUGAUAGGUUGCAGCUUUUUUUUUUUUUUUUCUAUUUUUUUUUUUUUCCAUUUAUUUGUUUGUUUUAGGCUGUUGCAGCUUCAUCUUCCCAUGAAUAAUCCCUACCAUAGAUCGGAUUGACCAUUGAAAGUCACCGGAUAUGCCUCAUGUAAGUUUUGGAUUGGAAUUUGACCGUGUUGCUUAUAGUGAAUGGGCCCCUCCUUUCAUUGACUUUUAUGGGCAGGAAUGCGAUCUUAUUGGGGUGUUGAUUGUCAUAGGAUAUGCUAUCUAAAUCAAAUGAAAUGGUUGAAAUGUAAUUAAUUUAUUUUUAUUAUUUUGUCUUCCAGGUUGCCGGCCUAGACAGAUGAUAUAUGGCUAGAUGGAGGGAUUUCUUUUAUAUGUAUUCAGAACAUUUUCAAUACAUUAUUGUAAAUAUUAUAUGUUUUUCAUUGUAAAGUAAUACAAUUAUUUAGUAUUCAUUUUUAAUUGUGUUGUGCAAC